This 442-nucleotide ribosomal RNA is filed under the name uncultured bacterium. RNAcentral's name for it is "partial 16S ribosomal RNA". It matches the Rfam family "Bacterial small subunit ribosomal RNA", at positions 338 to 795 of the family's 1533-position model. The record is from RNAcentral.
CCUACGGGAGGCAGCAGUGAGGCAUAUUGGUCAAUGGACGAGAGUCUGAACCAGCCAAGUAGCGUGAAGGAUGACUGCCCUAUGGGUUGUAAAGAUCUGUCAGUGGGGACGAAACUUGACGGUACCCACAGAGGAAGCACCGGCUAACUCCGUGCCAGCAGCCGCGGUAAUACGGGGGGUGCAAGCGUUGUCCGGAAUCAUUGGGCGUAAAGAGUUCGUAGGCGGCACGUAAAGUCUGGUGUUAAAGGCAGAGGCUCAACUUCUGUACGGCACUGGAUACUUGCGAGCGAGAAUGCGGUAGAGGUAAAGGGAAUUCCUGGUGUAGCGGUGAAAUGCUUAGAUAUCAGGAGGAACAUCGGUGGCGUAAGCGCUUUACUGGGCCGUAAUUGACGCUGAGGAACGAAAGCCAGGGUAGCAAAUGGGAUUAGAUACCCGAGUAGUC